This 897-nucleotide ribosomal RNA is filed under the name uncultured bacterium. RNAcentral's name for it is "bacterial SSU rRNA". It matches the Rfam family "Bacterial small subunit ribosomal RNA", at positions 49 to 958 of the family's 1533-position model. The record is from RNAcentral.
UCAGACAUGCAAGUCGAACGAUUAAGACUUCCUUCGGGAAGUGCAUAAAGUGGCGCACGGGUGAGUAACACGUAGGUAAUGUACCUUUGGGUGGGGAAUAACUUAGGGAAACUUAAGCUAAUACCGCAUAAUGCAGCGGCUCCUCAUGGAGACAGUUGUUAAAGAUUUAUCGCCUAAAGAGCAGCCUGCGGCAGAUUAGCUAGUUGGUAAGGUAAUGGCUUACCAAGGCUACGAUCUGUAACCGACCUGAGAGGGUGGUCGGUCACACUGACACUGAAUAACGGGUCAGACUCCUACGGGAGGCAGCAGUCGGGAAUUUUGGGCAAUGGGCGAAAGCCUGACCCAGCAACGCCGCGUGAAGGAUGAAGUAUUUCGGUAUGUAAACUUCGUAAGAAUAGGAAGAAUAAAUGACGGUACUAUUUGUAAGGUCCGGCUAACUACGUGCCAGCAGCCGCGGUAAUACGUAGGGACCAAGCGUUGUUCGGAUUUACUGGGCGUAAAGGGCGCGUAGGCGGCGUGGUAAGUCAGCUGUGAAAUCUCCGAGCUUAACUCGGAACGGUCAGCUGAUACUGCUGUGCUAGAGUACAGAAAGGGCAAUCGGAAUUCUUGGUGUAGCGGUGAAAUGCGUAGAUAUCAAGAGGAACACCUGAGGCGAAGGCGGGUUGCUAGGCUGAUACUGACGCUGAGUGCGCGAAAGCUAGGGUAGCAAACGGGAUUAGAUACCCCGGUAGUCCUAGCCCUAAACGAUGAAUGCUUGGUGUCUGGAGUUUUAAGUCUCCGGGUGCCGUCGCUAACGCUUUUAGCAUUCCGCCUGGGGAGUACGCACGCAAGUGUGAAACUCAAAGGAAUUGACGGGGACCCGCACAAGCGGUGGAGCAUGUGGUUUAAUUCGACGCA